UUUCUUCAUGUUAAAGAGCACAAAUUAAAUUUGUUGGAUUUUGUGAUUUUAUGAAUUAUCUAACAAAUAGGAUGGUGAACCAGAUUUUGGUUACCGAGCAAAAGUCUGCACAUUAAAGAGGAAACUGACUAACAAUCAAUGGUCAUCAUCUGGGCCGCAACAAGAGCAUGUAAUUAAAAAGAAAUCUGACACUGUAAGGCUUGAAGAAAGAAGUUAUGCUGACGCCCGUCACACGCUUAUUUCCGCCAACAGUAAAGGCUCGAGAGGUAUUUGUGUAUAUGAAUUGUCUUUUAGUGUUAACAGGUUAGAGGCAGGUUUGCAAAACUGAAUACUAUCAACUGAUUUAUGAAUAUUAUGCCUUUUGUACGGAAAAGUAAUCUGUGAGUGAUUGUUUUGGAGUUUUGCAAUUGUGAUCCUUUUGCGGUUAAGCGUUUCCCGCCGUCGUCUUAGCUGUUCUCGUGUAUUGACAUAACUGUCGCAUUGGAUUAGAUCUUCCAGCAAAUCUUUUCUUAUUAUAUCAAAUUCGGAAAUUGAUUGCUUAUCUUGAAAAUAUAGCAAGUCACUUUCCUUUAGAAAGAAAUCUAAUUUGGGACUUCGCGGUCGUAAAAUUCUUGUUUUCGUAUUGAUGUAUGCAUGUACGGGAAACCAAGAUUCGUUGGAAUCGGUGCAGACGAUCAAUAAUAGCCAUGCCAUUUCUUUUGGAGAUGAUAUCAAGGGAAAAAGUUGCGUAAUUAAUGGGCAAUUGAAUGGAAUACUAUCAAACUCCAGCUUUCGCUUUGUUUCAAUAUAAGCCAUGAAAUUUCGUGUAACAAUUGCAAUCCAGUUGUUACAAUGGUCAAAAGUAUAUAUAUCGUCUGGAGUAACGAAGUAUAGACGAAUGUCUCCAAAGUGUUGUUUCGCAGCUUUGACUAGGAGCUUAGAGUACAAUCCAUUAUUGCAUCGCUCUUCUAAAUAACUACUAACAGCCGUCCAUAAUGCGCUUUGUAAAAAGGAUGGGUAAUAAUGAUAUAGCAUCACAUGAUGAAUCAAAACUUCUAAUGGUGCGUUAUUGUUUGUAAGCAUUUCGCUUAAUUCUUUGUAAGAAUUUUCAUAAGUUGACAACAGUCUGUAGCUGUUGUAUUUUAAAAGGGGUUCGUAAGGCAUGAACUCUAGGAUACGAGGGCACGUAGACAUUCCUGUACUAUUUUCACAAUAGCAUGAUUCUAAAAGGAUUCGAUUUGCAUUGUUUCUUAUAAUAUAGCACAUGCCGUAAAUGAAAGGAUUAGUAGAGUAUCUAUUAUUCUUCAUGCCAAUACUGUUUGCAUUAUCCAUUAGAAUUAAUUUUGAAACCCAUUCCAAAGAACUGAGCGGACAAAGAAGUUUGUUAUACGGAGUAUCUGCCACUACAUAUGGUAUCUCUCUAACUGGAUAACUUGGAAUCUCUAUUUUCCAGCGGGAGUUGUAAGUAUAUUCUUUGUAAACAACUGAUUCAUUUGUUUCUUCACCCCAAAUCUCUUCCUCGUCGUUCGCAAAACAGCAAGUGAACAUCGUAAAGAGAUUUUUAAUUUUAUUAGAACCUUUGAAGAAUUCCCAAAUUUUUUUAUUCUCUUUUUUAGGUGCACCUUCGACCGAAGUUAUAACAUGCGCAUCACAUCCAAAUUUUUUAAGAAGUUCCGGACUUGUUCUAGCACAAGAACUAAAGGACAUUUCUUUAAUUUCAUGAUAUUUGUAUUCCUCGUAUAAAAUUUCGGCGUCCUUUCCUUUAUUAAUAUCUAAUUUACACUCUUCCAUACUUUGUUAACUCGAUGAUCAUAUGGUUAAUUGAUUCGAAUUUUAAUCGGAUUUGAAAUUAAAUUUUUUAAAAUAGUAGUUGAAAAGGUACUUAGCACUCAAAAAAUUUCUUCUAAUUUCCGUAUGUCAA
Molecule: long non-coding RNA, 1900 nt
Filed under: Schizosaccharomyces pombe (fission yeast)
Lineage: Eukaryota; Fungi; Ascomycota; Schizosaccharomycetes; Schizosaccharomycetales; Schizosaccharomycetaceae
Source: RNAcentral